Molecule: ribosomal RNA, 784 nt
Filed under: uncultured microorganism
Description: bacterial SSU rRNA
Rfam family: Bacterial small subunit ribosomal RNA
Source: RNAcentral
AGUACACGAGCGGCGGACGGCUGAGUAACGCGUAGGAACGUACCCCAAAGUGAGGGAUAACUGCCCGAAAGGGUAGCUAAUACCGCAUGUGGUCUUCGGAUUAAAGCUUUAUGCGCUUUGGGAACGGCCUGCGUCUGAUUAGCUUGUUGGUGAGGUAAAAGCUCACCAAGGCAAUGAUCGGUAGCUGGUCUGAGAGGAUGAUCAGCCAGACUGGAACUGAGACACGGUCCAGACUCCUACGGGAGGCAGCAGUAGGGAAUUUUCCACAAUGGGCGAAAGCCUGAUGGAGCAACGCCGCGUGCAGGAUGAAGGCCUUCGGGUUGUAAACUGCUUUUGUGAGUGAAGACUUCCGACAGUAACUCACGAAUAAGGGUCGGCUAACUACGUGCCAGCAGCCGCGGUCAUACGUAGGAGCCAAGCGUUAUCCGGAUUUACUGGGUGUAAAGGGAGCGUAGGUGGUUCGGUAAGUCAGAUGUGAAAGCCCGGGGCUCAACCCCGGGACUGCAUUUGAAACUAUCGAACUAGAGUGCAGGAGAGGUAAGUGGAAUUCCUAGUGUAGCGGUGAAAUGCGUAGAUAUUAGGAGGAACACCAGUGGCGAAGGCGGCUUACUGGACUGUAACUGACACUGAGGCUCGAAAGCGUGGGGAGCAAACAGGAUUAGAUACCCUGGUAGUCCACGCGGUAAACGAUGAAUACUAGGUGUCGGGGGUCAAAAGACCUCCGGUGCCGGCGCAAACGCAUUAAGUAUUCCACCUGGGGAGUACGUUCGCAAGAAUGUUGUCG